UACGUAGAGUGCAAGCGUUGUCCGGAAUUAUUGGGCGUAAAGGGUACGCAGGCGGAUAAUCAAGUCAAGCGUGAAAGGUGUAGGCUUAACCGACAGACUG
Molecule: ribosomal RNA, 100 nt
Filed under: uncultured bacterium
Lineage: Bacteria
Description: partial 16S ribosomal RNA
Rfam family: Bacterial small subunit ribosomal RNA
Source: RNAcentral